RNAcentral lists this ribosomal RNA (590 nucleotides) under uncultured prokaryote. RNAcentral's name for it is "bacterial SSU rRNA". It matches the Rfam family "Bacterial small subunit ribosomal RNA", at positions 334 to 914 of the family's 1533-position model. The record is from RNAcentral.
GAUUCCUACGGGAGGCAGCAGUGGGGAAUUUUGCACAAUGGGCGCAAGCCUGAUGCAGCAACGCCGCGUGAGUGAAGAAGGCCCUUGGGUUGUAAAGCUCUUUCGACUGGGAAGCAGGGGCUGCAAGUAAAUAAUUUGCAGUUCUGACUGUACCAGAUGAAGAAGCAUCUGCUAACUACGUGCCAGCAGCAGCGGUAAUACGUAGGAUGCGAGCGUUGUUCGGAAUUACUGGGCGUAAAGAGCACGUAGGUGGGUUCGCAAGACGAUUGUGAAAGCCCGAGGCUUAACUUCGGAAUUGCAGCCGAAACUGCGAGUCUUGAAUACCUGAGAGGGUGGCGGAAUUCCUGGUGUAGAUGUGAAAUUCGUAGAUAUCAGGAGGAACACCGGCGGCGAAGGCGGCUGCCUGGCAGUGUAUUGACGCUGAGGUGCGAAAGUGCGGGGAGCAAACAGGAUUAGAUACCCUGGUAGUCCGCACCAUAAACGAUGGAUACUAGGUGUUCGGAGUGUUAACCCUCUGAGUACCGAAGCUAACGCAUUAAGUAUCCCGCCUGGGGAGUACGGUCGCAAGGCUAAAACUCAAAGGAAUUGAC